Long non-coding RNA from Odontomachus brunneus, 876 nucleotides. RefSeq lists it as uncharacterized. NCBI's taxonomy places the organism in Eukaryota, Metazoa, Arthropoda, Insecta, Hymenoptera, Formicidae. The record is from RefSeq and is a predicted model, not a curated record. The transcript is spliced from 3 exons.
CGGCUACAUCCGGAGACUAUCUCAGAGGACGCGACUAAAAACGGGGGCUAAUUUUUACAAGAGGGAGUUUAUACUCUCUGCUUUGUAGUACAUAGCAUGUUUGAACCUAUUCGAACGUGAUUUUUUGGAGGAUAUUUUGGAAUUAUUUUUCAAGGAACAUUCAGGAGUAGAGUUUAGGAAAGAUUAAGAGAAAAGAGAUAUUAGAAAGAAAGGACAGUGUAUCAAAUGGCUAUAAAUAUUCUCGGGGAAGACUGAAAGCACGAUAACAUAGUCACCAAACAAGAAAAAAAAUGUAUGCGUGUCUCGUUGCAUUGGACUAGAAAUGCAUAUGAUGCAUAACAGACAAUUCGAGUGUUAGUAAUUCCACAGUGCAGUAACAUUAAAGCAAUCUUACAUUCAACAUUUCCACAUCUUCAUCUAUUUCCAUAAGAAAGAUGUGGUUUUGUUUUAUACUUGCUUUUCUGGGAACUUUUCCUACUGCAAUGGCUUAUAAUAGUUUUGACUUUGGCGAUACUCUAGCAUUAAUUCUGGGUCUAAUCAUCGGAAUUGUUGGAUUUUUUGCUUGUAUGGGAGCUUAUGCUAGAAGACGAAGUCACUUUGAGACCUUAUGAUAAGCUGUAAUUACUCCAAAUGUGUUAGAAGUGGAUAUAACAUUUGCAAACAUUUGUUUUAAUUUGUUGCAAAUUUUACAAAAAUAAUUCUACUAUUAUAGUCAUGGAACAAUAGAAACAGCAAUUAAUAAAAAAGGUACAACUUCCCAUGUACAAAAAAAAAGGACAGUUUUUAAGCAUAUUUUUUGAAAGAAUUUGUUAUAUUACAAUGGUAUUAUUCGAUUUAUAUAUAAAAUUUAUUGUUAAUAAAAGAUAUAUAAGAUGA